This 253-nucleotide ribosomal RNA is filed under the name uncultured bacterium. Its description in RNAcentral is "partial 16S ribosomal RNA". It matches the Rfam family "Bacterial small subunit ribosomal RNA", at positions 524 to 776 of the family's 1533-position model. The record is from RNAcentral.
UACGUAGGGGGCAAGCGUUGUCCGGAUUCAUUGGGCGUAAAGGGUGUGUAGGUGGCGCCGUUAGUCGGGUGUGAAAUUUCGGAGCUUAACUCCGAAACUGCAUUCGAUACUGCGGUGCUUGAGGACUGGAGAGGAGACUGGAAUUCAUGGUGUAGCAGUGAAAUGCGUAGAGAUCAUGAGGAAGAUCAGUGGCGAAGGCGGGUCUCUGGACAGUUCCUGGCACUGAGACACGAAGGCCAGGGGAGCAAACGGG